This 303-nucleotide ribosomal RNA is filed under the name uncultured bacterium. RNAcentral's name for it is "partial 16S ribosomal RNA". It matches the Rfam family "Bacterial small subunit ribosomal RNA", at positions 507 to 807 of the family's 1533-position model. The record is from RNAcentral.
AGCAGCAGCCACGGUAAUACGUAGGGUGCAAGCGUUAAUCGGAAUUACUGGGCGUAAAGCGUGCGCAGGCGGUUAUAUAAGACAGAUGUGAAAUCCCCGGGCUCAACCUGGGAACUGCAUUUGUGACUGUAUAGCUAGAGUACGGCAGAGGGGGAUGGAAUUCCGCGUGUAGCAGUGAAAUGCGUAGAUAUGCGGAGGAACACCGAUGGCGAAGGCAAUCCCCUGGGCCUGUACUGACGCUCAUGCACGAAAGCGUGGGGAGCAAACAGGAUUAGAUACCCCAGUAGUCCCUGUCUCUUAUAC